This 373-nucleotide long non-coding RNA is filed under the name Lathyrus oleraceus (garden pea). RNAcentral describes it as "Pisum sativum (pea) long non-coding RNA (PSAT_LNC012810)". The record is from RNAcentral. Lineage: Eukaryota; Viridiplantae; Streptophyta; Magnoliopsida; Fabales; Fabaceae.
UUUUCCACAUUUUUUCCUUUGCCGUUUUCGCUUUUGCAUAUUUUCUUUUCCAGCAACUUAAGCAUUAUUGUUUCUUUAUUAUUUUUACGAGUUCUACACUAUCUCCCUUGCAAUUUCUAUUUUCCUUUUUCCUUUUUAGCAUUUAGUUAAUUCUUUUCGCACAAUAGUUUCUACACCGGAAACUAUUGUGCACCUUUUUACCGGAUCUAACCUUACGUUAGAAUCUAGUUUUAUUUCCUUCGUUUUAAUUUGUUGUUUAAUUGAAGAAUCCAAGAACAAAUCCUACCGGCUUGUGGUGGAGUGUUCAAGACUAUUGUUUAACUCAUUCAGGUUCUUUAAUUAUUAUUUAAUGCUUUGUUUUAUUAUUUAUUUA